AUUGAACGCUGGCGGCAUGCCUUACACAUGCAAGUCGAACGGCAGCACGGGAGCAAUCCUGGUGGCGAGUGGCGAACGGGUGAGUAAUAUAUCGGAACGUGCCCAGUCGUGGGGGGAUAACGUAGCGAAAGCUACGCUAAUACCGCAUACGAUCUAUGGAUGAAAGCGGGGGAUCGCAAGACCUCGCGCGAUUGGAGCGGCCGAUAUCAGAUUAGGUAGUUGGUGGGGUAAAAGCCUACCAAGCCUUCGAUCUGUAGCUGGUCUGAGAGGACGACCAGCCACACUGGAACUGAGACACGGUCCAGACUCCUACCGGAGGCAGCAGUGGGGAAUUUUGGACAAUGGGCGCAAGCCUGAUCCAGCAAUGCCGCGUGCAGGAUGAAGGCC
Molecule: ribosomal RNA, 387 nt
Filed under: uncultured bacterium
Lineage: Bacteria
Description: bacterial SSU rRNA
Rfam family: Bacterial small subunit ribosomal RNA
Source: RNAcentral